CCUACGGGUGGCAGCAGUGGGGAAUAUUGCACAAUGGGGGAAACCCUGAUGCAGCGACGCCGCGUGAGUGAAGAAGCACCUCGGCGCGUAAAGCUCUAUCAGCAGGGAAGAAAAUGACGGUACCUGAAGAAGAAGCCCCGGCUAACUACGUGCCAGCAGCCGCGGUAAUACGUAGGGGGCAAGCGUUAUCCGGAUUUACUGGGUGUAAAGGGGGCGUAGACGGCGGUGCAAGCCAGGAGUGAAAUCCCGGGGCGCAACCCUGGAACUGCUUUGGAAACUGGGUGGCUAGAGUGCAGGAGGGGUAGGCGGAAUUCCUGGUGUAGCGGUGAAAUGCGUAGAUAUCAGGAGGAACACCGGUGGCGAAGGCGGCUUACUGGACUGCAACUGACGUUGAGGCCCGAAAGCGUGGGGAGCAAACAGGAUUAGAUACCCCUGUAGUC
Molecule: ribosomal RNA, 440 nt
Filed under: uncultured bacterium
Lineage: Bacteria
Description: partial 16S ribosomal RNA
Rfam family: Bacterial small subunit ribosomal RNA
Source: RNAcentral